UGAAAAUACUAUUGUCUGCCCCUUCCCCCCAAAAGCAAGUUUAAAAAGAAAUGUUUUGACUAGCUUGUGAUGGUAUGUGUACUCCAUACAGAAUCUGAAAGGGUUAAUGUGGCCCUGACUGCCUGGACAGUGAGCUGGCCAGCCAGGCUUAAUUAAAAAUGGGUCCCAGGAGGGCGAGGAAGUUGGUGGGUUAUUUAAAACACAGCGAGUGUGCCCCAGAAGGUGCUGCAUAGAAUAAAUGUGUUACAUGAGGGCGUAGUAGCCAGCAGCCCAAAGGAGGCUGUCCAGAAGGAAAGUUGGCUCUUGGGAGUGGGCAAAUCUGACAGGAGUGACAUAAAGCAGUCACAAGUGGUGAGCCCUGAUAAAAAGGCAGGAUGAAGCAUUCCAGGGAGAGAGCCCUGCAAAGUAGCUAAGUGAAGAACAGCUCUGCCAGGGGGGAUAUUUGAGUGGUGACAGGAGCUGCUUGAGGAGGACUGAAUUUGAGCUAAGAUGUACCUUUGUGGUUUGAGACUUACUGUGGAUUUCAGGAGAACUUUGGGAGUUCUGAGAGAAGGGUGAACCUAGAGAGGUAGUAGGGAGACAGCCUAGUAAAAGGCUAUAGUAGAAAGAAGUCCAGGGAGGCAGCAGGGCUUGCUUUCACUAGUCAGACCUAGCCAGCUUGCUACAGGAUUAUUGGACUGGAAUCCACAGUAGAGAGAAGCAAUGGGUUUCCCACAUCCAGCACUGGAAAAAGGCAUUUCUUAAUCCGUGUUAAAAGAGAAGCUUCUCACUUAUCUGGCCACAAGAUGGAAACAUUACACAAACAUCAGUAAGCUACAUUCACUGUUUUUUCCACUGUUGCCCUCCCAGACAGUGAAUUCUUCUGAAGCAGCUGAUAGUCUUCACAGAUUCUGGAGCUAUGCAUUACCCUCCCCCUCGGAAAAGAGGAAAAGAGAGAUGGGAAGGAAACUGAAGCUUAAUUGGUAUUAGAAAACAAAGACCAGAAAACUUUGACCAAAAUGAGUUAAUUUUCAGUUGAAAAGGCACAUGUGAAAAAUAUUUUGGCCACCACAUUUCAAAGUUAAAAAUCAAGAUUAAGUAAAAAUUAUGCACAACCUAAUAUAUUUCCUGUACAGUAAUUCCUCAUUUAACACGGUAGAUACGUUUCAGAAAAUGAUUGCGCUAAGUGAAAAUGUG
This is a non-coding RNA of Pelodiscus sinensis (Chinese soft-shelled turtle), 1176 nucleotides long. Lineage: Eukaryota; Metazoa; Chordata; Testudines; Trionychidae. The record is from RefSeq and is a predicted model, not a curated record.